RNAcentral lists this unclassified non-coding RNA (339 nucleotides) under soil metagenome. Its description in RNAcentral is "partial contains 5.8S ribosomal RNA, internal transcribed spacer 2, and large subunit ribosomal RNA". The stretch from base 1 to 120 matches the Rfam family "5.8S ribosomal RNA", at positions 35 to 154 of the family's 154-position model. The record is from RNAcentral.
GAUGAAGAACGUAGCGAAAUGCGAUAAGUAAUGUGAAUUGCAGAAUUCCGUGAAUCAUCGAAUCUUUGAACGCACAUUGCGCCCCCUGGUAUUCCGGGGGGCAUGCCUGUCCGAGCGUCAUUGCAACCCUCAAGCGCGGCUUGUGUGUUGGGCUUCGUCCCCCCGUGGACGUGCCCGAAAGGCAGUGGCGGCGUCCCGAAUGGUGCCCGAGCGUAUGGGAACUCUCUUCCGCUCGAACCGGCCCAUUCGGCGCUGGUCGAACCCCAAAUUUUUUUUACCGGUUGACCUCGGAUCAGGUAGGGAUACCCGCUGAACUUAAGCAUAUCAAUAAGCGGAGGA